UUUAUAAUAGUUUAACUAAAAACUUUUCAUUUUCAUUGAAAAAAUAUUUAAAUUUUAAAUUUAUAAAA
RNAcentral lists this transfer RNA (68 nucleotides) under Hydromanicus wulaianus. RNAcentral describes it as "tRNA-Glu". The record is from RNAcentral. Lineage: Eukaryota; Metazoa; Arthropoda; Insecta; Trichoptera; Hydropsychidae.